Macaca mulatta (Rhesus monkey) is the source of this 473-nucleotide non-coding RNA. Lineage: Eukaryota; Metazoa; Chordata; Mammalia; Primates; Cercopithecidae. The record is from RefSeq and is a predicted model, not a curated record.
CUAGAAAUAUACCAAUUGUAACAUAGUCAAUAAGAAAUAAUUUAAUCACAUUUAUUGUAUUAUCUUCAUUAUCUCUGAAUAUUUAGCCCUCAUGUGAAACAGUUAAUACCAAGAAACUAAUCCACCUUCUCUGUUUUGCCUUGUGUUGCAUUGUUAAUACUUUCCCUGUCAGUUUUAAGAAAUGUAUAUUCAUUCAAGAGAUUAGAAAGCUGUCAGGGAAACAGAACUGUGAAUCAGAAGAUGUGAUUAUCUCUAUACCCUGCCAACCAGCCACGUGACCUUGAUGAUAACUUCCAUGAGGGUUUUCUCAAGGCUUUGAAGUAAAGAUGCAAGUCAACACACUGACUAUAGUCAGAUCUACCCCAGAAAGCUAUUUCCUGGAGAAAGUCACAUCAUACAUACCUGCAAGAGAAUGAUGGUCACACAACACACACAGUAAUGUCAAGGAAUAAAAAAUUCUCAUACUGCUGUUA